Long non-coding RNA from Clupea harengus (Atlantic herring), 220 nucleotides. RefSeq lists it as uncharacterized. The transcript has 2 exons. The record is from RefSeq and is a predicted model, not a curated record. Lineage: Eukaryota; Metazoa; Chordata; Actinopteri; Clupeiformes; Clupeidae.
CACCAUCAACAUGUGUCCAUUGUGGAUGAUGUGUGUUUUCCUUUAUUUUUGUCUGUCCAUGCAGGUACAGCAUCCACAGAUACUGUGUGUGGUGACUGUGUAGGCGACAUAUACUCAGAUGGAUCAUUCACAUCCUGCAGACCACACACACGGUGUGAGUUGAUUGGACUUGUCGUCCUAAGAGAAGGAUCAUCUUCUUAUGACACUGAUUGUGGUCAAA